This 253-nucleotide ribosomal RNA is filed under the name uncultured bacterium. RNAcentral describes it as "partial 16S ribosomal RNA". It matches the Rfam family "Bacterial small subunit ribosomal RNA", at positions 524 to 776 of the family's 1533-position model. The record is from RNAcentral.
UACGUAGGUGACAAGCGUUGUCCGGAUUUACUGGGCGUAAAGAGCGCGCAGGCGGUCGUUCAAGUCGAGUGUGAAAGCCCCCGGCUCAACUGGGGAGGGUCAUUCGAUACUGGUCGACUUGAAGGCAGGAGAGGGAAGCGGAAUUCCCGGUGUAGUGGUGAAAUGCGUAGAUAUCGGGAGGAACACCAGUGGCGAAGGCGGCUUCCUGGCCUGUUCUUGACGCUGAGGCGCGAAAGCUAGGGGAGCAAACGGG